Molecule: ribosomal RNA, 253 nt
Filed under: uncultured bacterium
Lineage: Bacteria
Description: partial 16S ribosomal RNA
Rfam family: Bacterial small subunit ribosomal RNA
Source: RNAcentral
UACGUAUGGUGCAAGCGUUAUCCGGAUUUACUGGGCGUAAAGGGAGCGCAGGCGGCGCGCCAAGUCUGAUGUGAAACCCCGGGGCUCAACCCCGGGCAUGCAUUGGAAACUGGCGGGCUGGAGUGCCGGAGAGGUAAGCGGAAUUCCUAGUGUAGCGGUGAAGUGCGUAGAUAUUAGGAGGAACACCAGUGGCGAAGGCGGCUUACUGGACGGCAACUGACGCUGAGGCUCGAAAGCGUGGGGAGCAAACAGG